GAUGAACGCUGGCGGCGUGCCUAAUACAUGCAAGUCGAGCGAACGGACGAGAAGCUUGCUUCUCUGAUGUUAGCGGCGGACGGGUGAGUAACACGUGGAUAACCUACCUAUAAGACUGGGAUAACUUCGGGAAACCGGAGCUAAUACCGGAUAAUAUUUUGAACCGCAUGGUUCAAAAGUGAAAGACGGUCUUGCUGUCACUUAUAGAUGGAUCCGCGCUGCAUUAGCUAGUUGGUAAGGUAACGGCUUACCAAGGCAACGAUGCAUAGCCGACCUGAGAGGAUGGGCAGAGAGAGUGGAAAGGAGAAACGGACCAGAAGACGACGGGAGGCAGCAGUGGGGAAUAUGGGAUAAUGGGCGCAAGCAUGUACAAGCCAGACCGGGUGGGAGAAGAAGGGCUUCGGGUUGUAAAGCCCUUUUGUUGGGAAAGAAAAGCAGCAGGUUAAUACACGGCUGGUCUGACGGGGCGCAAAGAAGAAGCAAAGGCUAACUGCGUG
RNAcentral lists this ribosomal RNA (497 nucleotides) under uncultured bacterium. RNAcentral's name for it is "partial 16S ribosomal RNA". It matches the Rfam family "Bacterial small subunit ribosomal RNA", at positions 28 to 507 of the family's 1533-position model. The record is from RNAcentral.